GCUUCUACCACCCUUACCCCUCCCAUAGCAACCCUCACUAUUGCAACGUGACCAUGCCGAAGGGGAACUAGCACUCCCAGCCUGGAGUAGGUCUUGUCAAUCUGAUUUUUAAAUGAUGGAGGAGGUUUGAGGACAAAGCUCAUGGAGGCAUGAGGAUGCAAAAGAUCAAGUGAAAGGGAGGAAAGAUCUUCCGACUGUGAGCACAUUCUCAGACUUAGAGGACAGAGAGGUAUUUAAAGUGAACUGGAACAAACCUGCAACAUCAGGUGCAGUUCUGCCUUCAAAAAUAGCUGCCAGUUAGAAAGGGUUAUUUACAUAUUGAUUUCAUGCUAACUUUGUAAUGGAAUGUGCUGCCUGCCUGCCUGAGACCUAACAACUGUCAUCAUAAUUUUUUCUAAAAAUACAGGCAGAGAAAAACACUCGGUGAACCCUCCACUGGAAAGUGGCUACAAAAGACCCUCAUCCCAAACCUACUCCACCGACCAUGUCCUAGAGCAGGGAUUCUCAACAAUCACCACCGAGCAACACUUCCCAGCUGCAGUCAGCCCUUCCUUCCCUCUUCCAACCAGCUCGCACUUUUUUUUUCCCCCUUCUAGAAAAAUCUGUCUUGUUCUCAGGCCUGAUGGAGCUGAUUCGGUUGUGAUCCUGGGCAUAUGGAUGGCAUAUUUGCUGAGAGCUAGCCGGGCCCCCGCUGCUGGGGACAAAUCUUUCAUUCACGGACAGGAGCUUGUUAGGCCAACUCGGGACUCCAAAGCCACUUAAUUAAAUUGUGGAAAGU
This is a non-coding RNA of Ictidomys tridecemlineatus (thirteen-lined ground squirrel), 778 nucleotides long. The record is from RefSeq and is a predicted model, not a curated record. NCBI's taxonomy places the organism in Eukaryota, Metazoa, Chordata, Mammalia, Rodentia, Sciuridae.